RNAcentral lists this ribosomal RNA (547 nucleotides) under Tolypocladium sp. RNAcentral describes it as "LSU rRNA". It matches the Rfam family "Eukaryotic large subunit ribosomal RNA", at positions 76 to 647 of the family's 3401-position model. The record is from RNAcentral. Lineage: Eukaryota; Fungi; Ascomycota; Sordariomycetes; Hypocreales; Ophiocordycipitaceae.
UGCCCCAGUAACGGCGAGUGAAGCGGCAACAGCUCAAAUUUGAAAUCUGGCCCCCAGGGCCCGAGUUGUAAUUUGCAGAGGAUGCUUUUGGCGCGGUGCCUUCCGAGUUCCCUGGAACGGGACGCCAUAGAGGGUGAGAGCCCCGUCUGGUCGGACACCAAGCCAGUGUAAAGCUCCUUCGACGAGUCGAGUAGUUUGGGAAUGCUGCUCUAAAUGGGAGGUAUAUGUCUUCUAAAGCUAAAUACCGGCCAGAGACCGAUAGCGCACAAGUAGAGUGAUCGAAAGAUGAAAAGCACUUUGAAAAGAGGGUUAAACAGUACGUGAAAUUGUUGAAAGGGAAGCGUUUAUGACCAGACUUGCGCCCGGUGAAUCAUCCAGCGUUCUCGCUGGUGCACUUUGCCGGGCUCAGGCCAGCAUCAGUUCGUCGCGGGGGAUAAAAGCUUCGGGAACGUGGCUCCCUCGGGAGUGUUAUAGCCCGUUGCACAAUACCCUGCGGUGGACUGAGGUUCGCGCUCCGCAAGGAUGCUGGCGUAAUGGUCAUCAGCGA